AAACGCUGGCGGCGUGCCUAACACAUGCAAGUCGAACGAUCCCGCAAGGGAGAGUGGCGGAAGGGUGAGUAACACGUAGGAAUCUACCCCGACGGAGGGAACAACCUAUCGAAAGAUGGGCUAAUACCCAAAAGGAUCCGUAAUGAUCAGAGUCGAAAGGCCUGUCGGGAUGAGCCUGCGGCGCAUCAGCUAGUUGGUGAGGUAAAAGCUUACCAAGGCUACGACGCGUAGGGGGUCUGAGAGGACGUCCCCCCACACUGGAACUGAAACACGGUCCAGACGCCUACGGGUGGCAGCAGUGAGGAAUAUUCGUCAAUGGGGGAAACCCUGAACGAGCAACGCCGCGUGGAGGAUGAAGGCUUUCGGGUCGUAAACUCCUUUUCAGGGAGACGAGAAAGGACGGUAUCCCUGGAAUAAGUCACGGCUAACUACGUGCCAGCAGCCGCGGUAAUACGUAGGUGACGAGCGUUAUCCGGAUUUACUGGGCGUAAAGCGCUUGUAGGUGGUUUUGUAAGUUGGACGUUAAAUCUCCAGGCUCAACUUGGAGAGGCCGUUCAAUACUGCAAGACUAGAGGAUGUCAGAGGAAGGUGGAAUUCCAGGUGUAGUAGUGAAAUGCGUAGAUAUCUGGAGGAACACCCAUGGCGAAGGCAGCCUUCUGGGACAUUCCUGACACUGAGAAGCGAAAGCUAGGGGAGCAAACAGGAUUAGAAACCCUGGUAGUCCUAGCUGUAAACGAUGAAUACUAGGUGUUGGUGGCUUUAACCCCACCAGUGCCGAAGCUAACGCGU
This 789-nucleotide ribosomal RNA is filed under the name uncultured bacterium. Its description in RNAcentral is "bacterial SSU rRNA". It matches the Rfam family "Bacterial small subunit ribosomal RNA", at positions 31 to 860 of the family's 1533-position model. The record is from RNAcentral.